GAUGAAGAACGCAGCUAGCUGCGAUAUUUAGUGCGAACUGCAGAAACUUUGAGCACAAACAUUUUGAAUGCAUAUUGCGCCUUUGGAGUCAAAUCCACUGGCACGUCUGGUUCAGGGUCAUUAUCGCAGACAAGAUAAAGAAAUAUCUUCGCCGCAUCGGAUCAUUUUUGACCGACCGAUUAGACAACACUUGUUGUGUAGUAAUGUUCAACAUGGAAUGACAAAUGAGCGUGUUAUAUUGCAUUUCCUUGUACGAGAGCAUAAUACCCUUUGCAUUUUUGACCUGAACUCAGUCGUGAUCACCCGCUGAACUUAAGCAUAUCAAUAAGCGGAGGA
This 336-nucleotide unclassified non-coding RNA is filed under the name soil metagenome. Its description in RNAcentral is "partial contains 5.8S ribosomal RNA, internal transcribed spacer 2, and large subunit ribosomal RNA". The stretch from base 1 to 120 matches the Rfam family "5.8S ribosomal RNA", at positions 35 to 154 of the family's 154-position model. The record is from RNAcentral.